This 270-nucleotide ribosomal RNA is filed under the name uncultured bacterium. RNAcentral describes it as "partial 16S ribosomal RNA". It matches the Rfam family "Bacterial small subunit ribosomal RNA", at positions 29 to 290 of the family's 1533-position model. The record is from RNAcentral.
AGUGAUCGCUGGCGGCGUGCUUAACACAUGCAAGUCGAGCGAGAUUUGACAGCGUAUCGUCGGGUCUAGCGGCAGACGGGUGAGUAAUACUUGGGCAAUCUGCCCUACAGUAGGGGACAACCUGCCGAAAGGCGGGCUAAUACCCCAUAAGACCACAGGGAUGCAUAUCCAAGGGGUCAAAGCUCCGCAAGGGGCGCUGAAGGAGGAGCCCGAGUCCUAUCAUGGUAGUUGGCGGGGUAAUGGCCCACCAAGCCGUUGACGGGUAGCCGG